Molecule: long non-coding RNA, 467 nt
Filed under: Mustela putorius furo (domestic ferret)
Lineage: Eukaryota; Metazoa; Chordata; Mammalia; Carnivora; Mustelidae
Description: lncRNA (ENSMPUG00000024198.1)
Source: RNAcentral
CAGGGGAGCUUCUGACAACACUGAUGCGCCUAACUCCAUGGAGAGCUGGACGUGGCAGCUCAGUCUUCUCAUGCUUCACCCCAUGAAGAAUGUAAUAGAACUUGAAUCGUGAAUGUUGCACUUUCCUGAGUUCUGUUCACCAUGCCCUCAAUGUCUAGAUCUGUCACACGCGGAAGUACAGGACAAAGGAAGGUCAAUAAGAAUUUUUAACAAAAGAAGGCCCAGCAGCAACAGAUCUCCCGCAGAGAAGAAACCAUGAUGAAGCUAUUUCCCAAACAGCCUGAAAUUCUUUGUCCCCCAGAAACAGCAGCCCACCCAAUUUUUGGCAAAUCUCCACCCUCAUCCCAAAUAUAAGUAAAUGCAAACACUUAUCUAGGCUUACUACAUGCCGGGAACUGUUCCAAACCUCUUACAUAUAUUAACUCAUUUAAUCAUCACACCAACCCUAUGACAUGAACACUGUUUUU